UAUAUCUGAUAUUACUCAAAGGGUAGGUGAUGGUAGAUACUCACAACAGUAAUGACCUCGUAAAAUAUAUAAAAAUGACUAUCUACAUGCCAUCCGCGCAUUUGUUAUAAAAUGUGACAAUGAAAUACCUAAGCAAGGUUUGGUAUGAUAGAAACCAAAAGCAGGCCAUAGUAGUAAACUACAUGGUUGACCAUUAGAUAUAUAACUUUGUCCACACGCCUUCACCUGAUUUGCUUGAUAUAUAACUUUGUCUUUGUCCACACUCCUUCAUUUGAUUUGCUUGCAUGUUGUGACACACGGAUCUGCUAAAGGACAUAUCGGGUUAGCAAACUAUUCAAAUAGUGUGCCUCAUGGAUAGGGAGAAAAUAAUUUGGCCUAUAUGAAGGAGAGUCGCUUUGGACAAUAUUCAGUGAUGUGGAUAAAGUGUAACCUCUUUAACAUAAAAUAAUAUAAAAGAUAAGAGUAAAAAAAUUAUCUUACUAUUCUACAUGGCACCCAGAAAACAUAAUAAGCCUACUAUUCAUAGAUAUCCUCCAAGAUUUUCUUCACAAAACUUGAUUACACUAUGCGAUGAAGCAACCUAAAGGCAUCUCACCUUAUUAUGUGCCUAAUUAUUCAACACUGACAGAGGUUUCCAAAUUAGUGGUUUUGUUUUGGCAUAUAAAGAAACUGAAGUUCAUAAUAUAUAAAAGCAAAUUAAUAGAGAUUAGAUAUUGCAACCAUGAAUCCAAUCCUCUAGUGAUUACUCUCAUUCUAAAGUUAGAACAGACCAAUAAAAUUAGAUACUGCAACCAUGAAUCUCCUCUAGUGAAUACUCUCGUUCCAAAGUUAAACCAAAGAUGAGAGCUAAUUAUAUAUGCACAAGGCAUCCAGAGAAAUGAUCUGGUUGUUCAUAAAGUCAAAACCACUAUAUUGAUUCAACCAAGCAUGAUUCAAAUCAAACUACCCUUCAACCUCCGUCGUAGGACCUAUUGAGAUAUAAUGAUAUAAUGGCAGAACGAAAGGAAAAGAAAAGAAAAAAAAAGUAAAAUCAUCGUAAGAGCAUCGAAUUCAUAUCCUAAUCCACGGAAGCAUCAUGCAUAAAAAGUCUGUGCAUGAUGGAAAUGUAGAGACUAUAUAUCUCACUGGCGGACAUCCACAUAGUUUGAGGUAGAAGAAGCUCGUCGGCUAACAUUACCACAAGGAGGAGCUCAAGUUGGCCUUGGAACAGCCUAGUGUCACCGUGGAAGUCCAGAAGCAGUCCAAGCGGCGUUGCCACUAUGACCUUUAACUCUGCAAGAAGUGUCACACUCAUACAGAAAGAAGUUGUUCUCUUCCAUCCACAGAACACAAAAUAACAAAGGUAAAUAAGUUGUCUACUCAAAAUUCGGAACACUUCAUCUAAUAGGAUGACACAAACAGAAGGCCGUCGUGUAAAAAGCAAGUUCACUAAAUUCGGCAGAUGAUUAGUAAUUUAGCAUACUUGUAACCUCGCCAAUGGACAUACGCAUCCUCACAUUUAAAGAUUUUGCAUUAACAUAACCCAGUGUUAUAGUGAUAGUACGUUCCAACUCAUUCUUGAAAAAAAGAAACAUUGUACAGUUAAAAACGAAUAUCAAGCACAAGCACAAGCACAUGGAAAAGGACCACGUGGACAUUUUUUCCGUUUUAAGCUUGGAUCACCUAAACAUUGUUCUGUUUUGAGCUUGGACCACCUCAACAUUCACCACCAAAACAGAGAAGAGAAGGUUCCAAACAGAGCAAGUCAAGGAACAAAUUAUCCAAUUGUCUAUAUUCAUGGAUUAGAUGAUGCAAUAAUAAUAGUCAUGGAACUAUUUCUUUAAUGCAUAGGAAGCCAAAACAAUUCAUUAGCACUAUUCUCGAUCAAUUAUCUGAAGUCAUGGGACUAUUUUUUAAUGAACAUCUCAUUAGUGUAACUUAUAAAUCAAUAGAAACAAAUAAUAGGUGGAUCCAAAUAUGAAUGAGGAACCAAGCAGCUUUACUGUAUGCAAAUUAAAAGACUUCAACUCUGUACCCAAUGUUGAUCCUCGCUCUUGGCGUGAGAUAACUUCAGGUGAUAACGGGUGUAGCUUGGUAACACCAAGCUUGGUUAAAUCCUACUCCAUCAAUCAUCGGUGCCACACCAUUCUCUACCAUAAAAGUAGGGAGACAACACUAAAACAAAGAAGAGUAAAUGUUCCUUUCACUAACGGAUGAACUUUGCAAAUAACACUCAAAACGGGAUGAACAACAAUGGGAAAUUUUCUUCCAAGACUGCCGCAAAUCAUUAUGAAUCAUGGGCAUGUGUCAUGCACACACACAUGAUGUAUUUUUAUUAUUAUUGUGCACUAUUGCCCACUCCUCUAUAUAUCAUUAAGAACAGGUCACUAAAUCCUUGAUGGUUGGCACUAAGAUAAAGUCACAUGUUCAAAUUUUACUAACCUAAGGCAGUAAUUCAAACAGCCUGUUGAAGCCUUUUAUAGCAGGUCACUAAAUCCUUGAUGGUUGAAUCUAAAAAUAAUGAACCAUUAAAAAUGCAGCCCCACAAAAAGAUGUCACUCCCCAGCUUUAAUAGUUUCGGAAUAAAUUAACUCUUUUAUAACUCUUAUCUGAAGCAAAAGGAACCUGAACCACAGCAACACAAGCAAGAUCAUUAACUAAACAGCUCACUCCCAUCGCUAUACAUCGAACCGUAGGUUUAUAAAGAAUAAAUUUAUCUUUCCUAUACACAAAUAUCCAUCCAGCACAAAAUAUAACCUCUCACAAGAACAGUUUAUGUCUGGAAUAUUUGGACUGAUGUCAUAUUCAUGCAUCCAUGAUCAAAGCUCAAGUGUCAGUCUACAUGGAUUAAACCAGGGGAGCAUACCUCAAUAUCAUUUCAAGUAUACUAAUAGAAAAUAGCGGCCCAUUACAUUAGAAUUUAUGUAUAAUGGAUAAAAUCAAUUUGUUAUUUAUUUUACAGAACCAGUAGAGGAUGUCCAUAUAGAACAUGACAAGUAGAGUUGCCGAUCUGAGCUAAGAUGUGCACAAUCUGGAAAUGCAAAAUAUCUUAAGUCAUCCGGUUGUUUCCUGACUAACGGACUGCUAUUCUUCUCACAUAGCAAGUCAUUUUUUGUGUGUGAAUUCCAUUCAAUGAAAGAAUAUAGAAGGCUUAGAUAUGCUGUAUAUGCACUACUCAGUUUAUUUCGAAAGCAAAAAAAAAAGUGUGCUUGCAUGGUGGAUUACACAAAUCAAAUAGAUAACGGCAAUGAUGAAUCUUGGCAGGAAGUGCACUAACCAGUCCAGUAGCCGUGGAUGAACUUCGGGUAGGGAAACUGCAAUCGAAGUGAAUCCUUAUACCUGUAAAAUAUCAUCUCUGUCAAUAAAAAGAUGGGAAGCGAAAUAACAUUGAGGUCACAUCUGCGAAGGUAAUGAGAUACUCCAUCUGCUCGAGUACUUAAAUAUGUACGUCUUAAUUAUGACUAUUGGAGUGCUUGAUAUUCUUUAAUCAAGAUAUAGCCAUGUACUCUAAGAUCAAAUUGUAUGGAGAAGUGUUCAUAACAACAUAAGCACAUGGUAUAUGUGUGUAUAUAAAUAAAGUAUGACACAAGAGCUUAUACAGGAUAAAUGUAGAGAAGAUGUGUCAACAACAUUAAUAGGUCACUCCAUGUCAUAGUCCUUGGCCAAGGUCAGGGGACCUUGAAUCCUAGAAAUCUGUAGAGGAGGCAUCAUCAGGAGCAAUCUAUCACAACUCACAAAAUCACCCAAGAGGCAGGUACAGACUAUGUUAACCAUUUAUGUGUACAGAAUAUAUUAACUUGCACCACACCGGAGACAUUUCUCACCGGUAGCGGAUUAAUUAAUUUUCUGAUUAACACACAAGCUCGAGCCUGCUGCCGUAAUCAGCUUAUGACCAAAGGUGAAAGAAAUAGAUAAAUCACAAAAUUGGCAUAACUAUUUGCCAACUAAAAUAUAAAUAUCCUAGGUAUGCUUAAAUAUCCGACCCUGCUGCCGCAAUCAGCUUAUGAUCAAUGGUGUUUUUCAAAGCAAUAAAGGCAAGGAAAUGCUAUAAAAGAAUUAUGGCUCCAAAAAAUGCAAUAAAGGCAGCAAACUAAUGUUUUCACAUGGCUGUUUGUUGAUGUGCUAGCUACAAUUAUAGAUUGUACUAUUCAAGUUCAGGCUGUUGUGCCCACAUGUAAGGCCAUUCAAAGAGAUCAGUGUUCACAUGUAAUAUGAUGUGUUCCUCUUGAGCAUGCCAUCUACGAACGACCACCUGGAAAUAUCAGGCAGGAGAUGAGUACAUGUAAACAAGCAAUUGUGUGUAAUUAUCAGAAUUCUGACAGCUAAGACCGCUCGAAAUUUCCAACACAGUAUGAAAAAUCUUUGUUUGGCUCUUCUCUUUCCAAGUAUAGUACAUCUUCCAGGUGCAUUGUUUUCUUAACUAUUUUUCACCCACCACUCUAUAGACAGGAAAUGUGAAUCUUGAUACAUAAAUACACAUGAGCACUGUGAGUUAUCUGAUUCAGACUCGGAUAUACAUGUAACUGUAGUUUAAGAAGUUAUAGCAUCAGUUCCGGAGAAAACUCUUAAACUAUAGUACACAAUAAAAGGGGAUAUAUAAAUCACCGUACUUCAAAGGUGAUGAACUUGAUUUGGAACAGGGGCAAGUACCUGAGACGGGUGGGUAGUAAGGAAGAAUCCAACAGUAGGUGCAAACUCAUUCCCGUGCCUAAAAGGAUUGCAGACAGUGGAGAAGCAAUCAGUGGCAUAUCAUAUUGCAUCACAGAAUGGAAUCAUCCAAAACCGAACAACGUUAAUCAUUAGAACAUGUGGAAAAUGCGAGUGAAAUGAACAAAUGAUGCAAUGAAAUUUCACAAACCUAAACAGUGGAUAGCAACUUUUUCGGAUGUCCCAGAAACAGGUUAAGGGGUCAAACAGAAGAGGGAAAAUUGCAAGGCAGCAUGAUGUUGCUAAUCUAGAACUACUCCACAAAGCAAGUUUGGAUCUACUCUCAGAUCUAGUCUCAGAACUACUACACAAAGCAAGUUUCGAUCUACUCCAUAGCUUUCAUGGCCACCGUCUCUCGCUGUAGUAGUCUCGCUCAUCCUCUUUUAUUUUUUCGGUAGAUGCCCACAGCCACAACACAAUAAAAACUAUCCUUGGGCUAAUGAAAAUAUACGUGAAUACUGAAUCUGCUCAAUAGUAGAAGAGAGUUCAGUUAUCACCUCAGCUCACCUAGGAAGCAACAACUUCCAUUUCCAAGAGAAAAAUGACCAGGAAACGUAAGCCGCUAUUGGCUUGAUACCUGCAAACGACUAAUUGUUCAACACUACUUUGGGAACGAUCGCUCUGAGCAAUUAACAGUAAUAAACAAAGAACAAAAAGGAACAAAACAAAGCCAGGUUUUUUCACCUAAAAGGAAUUGUCAAAUGCAGCGAUAGCAUGCGUGCAUUUCUCUCCAAAUUGCACAUGAGCUUUGACUGUAGGGAAGAGAUAAAAUUUCCCACAAACAAACAAACGUCCACAAUAGCUGCAAGUUGCAUCUACUAUCAAAGGAACACUUAGCAUAUCUCAAAUAAAUAGGUACGAUAACCGUGAUCUCAGGAAGCGUAGGAAGAUGCAUCUUAUACUCUAGAGUUCAGAUAUAUCAAUAAUUCAUUUUAUCCGACCUCUUUGGAGUUACACUGUUAAAGGGCAUUGUUAAACUAAACAACCGUUCUUAUCCUGUAACAUGCUACUACUUAGUUGCACCCCUCUUACUCCUGACACUACGAACUCCAGUUUAUGUUGCGUAUGUUAUGCAUAUACAAACGAUGUAUAAAGCUUGAACAUGGCAAAAAAAUGCAAGGGAUUACCUGAAUAUAUGAUGCUGCAGUACACCAAUUUUUCUAACUGAAAUUAAACCUACCACUUCCUGCUCUCAGAUUUUAGUUCAUUUAUAAACUCUACAUUCUACUCAUACAAGCAUACCACAUCUAAUGUUCUGCUAUAACCCAGAUUAUUGUUACCUUACUAAACUCAUAAUUAUUAUCAGUUUAUAAUGGAAAUAAAAUACCCUAACGCAACCCCUAGUAAAUGACAUUACGAACUGCGGUGUAUGUGUGUGCUGCUAUGAUUCAGAUAACUGAACUCUGUUCUACUAUUGAGCAGGUUCAGUACAAGAUUUGGAAGUAUAUAGUGGUAACUAAUAAAAAUUUGGAAGUAUAAAAGGAAUCAUACAACCUGCAAGAUCUACUAUAGCCAAGCAAAAGUGGUAUUGUUAAGCAUUGGUAAAUAACUAAAUAUAGUAAAGGACAAAAUGACUUGGCAAAAGCAAUCAACACAACAAAAAGAGAGAUGCAAGUCAGCGAUAAUUAGUUGUCGUACUGUUCUUUUGAAACUAUACAUAUCUGUAAUGUUCUUUUGAAACUAUACAUAUCUGUACCAGUUGACCAUGACUGCACAAAUCUACAUGAUAACAUGUUUUCAAAACAUAUCCUGAAGGGAAAAUGGACCGCAUGAAAGAAACAGGCGCAAUCAUCCAUGGAUAGCAGGAUUGUACAGCAUGCUAAACUACAGUAAAAUGGAAUAUAUAAGUUAUAUCACAAUCCGUCUAAAUGUGCAAGAAACAGUUUUCUUACAUAGUUUUAUAUGUACUGUGCAUCUCCCUGCAAUAUUCAGUACCAAGCAGGCUGUAAAUGUCAUGGGUACGAUACAGUCUAUUACUCUGAUUUCGAUAAGCUCUUUACACAUAUUAUAGGAUAAAAAUAUUCUUAAAACGAGAUGGAAGUUUUUAAACAAAUCGUCAUCAAUGGAAAUUAUUUGCAUACUGAAAGAUAUAUUGAGCCUUACCUGCAAUAUAAAGAAAAAUAGCAAAUAAACUUCGGGCACUUUAUUAUGCUGCUGACAACCCUAUACAGCAAGUGAUCUGAAGUUUAAGCUGUUAC
This 6884-nucleotide long non-coding RNA is filed under the name Triticum aestivum (bread wheat). Its description in RNAcentral is "long non-coding RNA (TAES_LNC020930)". Lineage: Eukaryota; Viridiplantae; Streptophyta; Magnoliopsida; Poales; Poaceae. The record is from RNAcentral.